This 426-nucleotide ribosomal RNA is filed under the name uncultured bacterium. RNAcentral's name for it is "bacterial SSU rRNA". It matches the Rfam family "Bacterial small subunit ribosomal RNA", at positions 356 to 773 of the family's 1533-position model. The record is from RNAcentral.
GGGGAAUAUUGGACAAUGGGGGGAACCCUGAUCCAGCCAUGCCGCGUGUGUGAAGAAGGCCUUAUGGUUGUAAAGCACUUUAAGCGAGGAGGAGGCUACUUUGGUUAAUAUCUACGGAGAGUGGACGUUACUCGCAGAAUAAGCACCGGCUAACUCUGUGCCAGCAGCCGCGGUAAUACAGAGGGUGCGAGCGUUAAUCGGAUUUACUGGGCGUAAAGCGUGCGUAGGCGGCUUUUUAAGUCGGAUGUGAAAUCCCCGAGCUUAACUUGGGAAUUGCAUUCGAUACUGGGAAGCUAGAGUAUGGGAGAGGAUGGUAGAAUUCCAGGUGUAGCGGUGAAAUGCGUAGAGAUCUGGAGGAAUACCGAUGGCGAAGGCAGCCAUCUGGCCUAAUACUGACGCUGAGGUACGAAAGCAUGGGGAGCAAAC